GUCUGUAUGAGAGUUAUAUAAAGUCUGGCCUGCCCAUUGGGAACUAAAAGGCCGCGGUAUUGUGACCGUGCGAAGGUAGCAUAAUCAUUAGUCUUUUAAUUGGAGGCUGGAAUGAAUGGCUGGACGAGAAGUAAGCUGUCUUUAUCUCAGAAGUUGAAUUUAACUUUUAAGUGAAAAGGCUUAAAUGAAUUAGAGGGACGAUAAGACCCUAUAAAGUUUAAACACUGAGUUAGUUAAGAGUGAUUUAGAGUAGUAAGGUUUAUUAUUAGUUAGGUGUUUGGUUGGGGCGACUAGAAUAUAAGUUAUAUAACUGUUUUUUAUUUGAAUCAGAGAUAUCUGUUCACAUGAUCCCUUUUUAGGAUUAAAGAGUAAAUUACUUUAGGGAUAACAGCGUAAUUUUUUUUGAGAGUUCUUAUCGACAAAAGAGUUUGCGACCUCGAUGUUGAAUUAAAAUUUCUUUGUGGCGUAGCAGUUACAAAAGAAGGUCUGUUCGACCUUUAAAUUUUUACAUGAUUUGAGUUCAGACCGGCGUGAG
Molecule: ribosomal RNA, 535 nt
Filed under: Cherax snowden
Lineage: Eukaryota; Metazoa; Arthropoda; Malacostraca; Decapoda; Parastacidae
Description: partial 16S ribosomal RNA
Rfam family: Bacterial large subunit ribosomal RNA
Source: RNAcentral